This 2147-nucleotide long non-coding RNA is filed under the name Marmota monax (woodchuck). Lineage: Eukaryota; Metazoa; Chordata; Mammalia; Rodentia; Sciuridae. The record is from RNAcentral.
GUUCAGAGCGAGCAAUUCAAGCUCUUCAACUCUAAAGUCACUGUUUAAAGUCACUCUUUGGUGACUUCUUUUUUGGCAAGAUAAAUAUUUUAAAGCAUAAGAAAUGGGCGUUCCCUUGCAACUUCAUGCUGGAGACAGUCAGGGGUCCACCCUUCGGCAUUAGUGAGGGUCGCUGUGCCCAGCUGUCGUGACACCGAGCCUUCAGGACCCGCGCUGUGAGGACCAAAGAGCCAGCACCCGCGCUCCCCGGCUUUGUACUCGCCUCCGUUCUCUGAGCCCGGGUUCAAUGGGAAUAAACAGAGGCGCCUUCAAAACAGAAAGGGAAAUCAGCCACUGCAAAGAAUAACUGCGUUCCACGAGGCCUCUCAACAAGGCCACCGCCGGGAGCCGCGGUGUCCCCCGGCGCAGGGGCGGAGGGGCGCACCUGGCGGCGAGGGCGGGGCGGGACGCGGGCUUCGUUUUCUUUUCCUUGUCAAGUGAAUUCCCCGAAGGGCUCCGAAGCUUCUGCUUGGCAGAACAAGGGAAAAUAAGACAUUUUUAAUGUAUUCCAUUGUCUUUCCCGGUGACAGAGCGCCGUCCCCCAGCAGGUUUCCAAGUGUCUCUGUCACUGCGCGCCCGGGCUCUCCUCUCCGCGCUGCCGCCCGUAAUGAGCGGGAAGAAGGAGUGCUCGUCGCAGAGGGCGAUUAUCACAGGUCUCCGAGCUCCUGCUUCCACCUGCCGAGGAAAUCACGGCUCCGCGGCGCGGGCAUUUAUCCUUGUGCAAGUUCAUUUGCAAGUUGAGCAGAACUCAAAGGCAGGAACCCACCAAGACAGUCAGUCCGGAAGGAACGCCGUCCGUUUAAACAUCUGGUGAAUUCUUUCCCUCGCCCCCCUACCCACACCUCGCAUCCCGGGGGCAGUCACGUCCCGCAUCCCCUUGGCACGGUCCUGCGGGCACUGGUUGCUGACGCCGUUUUCUAGGCUUGAGCUAACUGGAGCCGGGGAUCCCUGGUUAUUGCAGUCUGCGCUCGCCGCACAGUGCAGCAGCUCUUGACCUACAAGCCCUCCCAAGGCCUGGUGCCACCUGAGCUCAGCCAGGCUAGAUUGAAAGAGAAGUGUGAGAAGGAUCCCAGAAUUCUCCUUUAACCCCAUGCCUGCUGUGGCCUCGAGGAUGUCUUGCAAACUCCCAGGGAUCUCACUACUUGCUUUUUCAAAUGCAGGUUGGCCAGUGUCCUCCUGAGGGUUCUAAGGCCAUCUGAGUGACAGGAUGCAGCAGUGGUGGUUAUUGGGGGGGGGGGCGUCACAGACUUCCAGAGAAGAUAAGAAAAAGUGAUAGGCUGCAUACAAUGUUUCUUCUUCUUCCCAAGGUUCCUCUGUCCUGUGGCCUAAAGUCCUAGCAAAAUCGCCAUUUCAUAUUAUGUUUUUUAUUAUUUAUUUAUUUUGAGACAGGGUCUCACUAAGUUGCUGGCUUUGAAGAUGAAGAAUGCCACAAGCCAUGGGCUGUGGGUGACCUCUAGAAGCUAGAAGAACCAGCUACAAGAUUCUCCCGUGUAGCCUCCUUGGUGUUAGCUUAGUGAGUCCCUUUUUGGGUCUCCCUAAGGGACCCCUUCUGACUUCCAAAACAUGAGUUUGUGUUGGUUUGAUCCACUUAUAUUUGCAGUAAUUUGUUAGAAAUUGUGACCAGCCUCAGUUCAGUGCUGGCUGCUGGGAGAGCCUUCCCUGACCACCUGUCCAGAGCCAGGUGUGUGGCUGCUGUCCUGGUGUGCGGCUAUGGCAAAUACCUGAGCGAAGCCACUUAGGAGAGGAAAGGGUUAUCUUGGCUCACAGGGUUGGAGCUUUCAGUCCAUGAUCGACUGCCCUGUGCUGGCAUGUCAUGGCAGGGGACACAGCAGAGCCAAAUCCUUCACCUGUGGCUGGGAAGCAAAAGAGAUGGAGAGGAAGGUCCAGGGUCCCACAGUCCCUUCAAAGGCCAUCCCCCAGGGACCUGAAGACCUCCCAGGAGGCCCACCAGCUCCCCAAAACAUCACCCUGAGGAGCAAACCUUUGUCACCACAUGGGACUCUGGGGGACACACGGGAUCCAAACUCCAGCACUUGGGCAGGUGCUAAGCACUGCUUUAGGGACACAGCAGUGAACAAGAUGCUAAUAACGUGCCUGCAGGAGGACAA